This is a long non-coding RNA of Eucalyptus grandis, 2622 nucleotides long. RefSeq lists it as uncharacterized. The record is from RefSeq and is a predicted model, not a curated record. The transcript has 2 exons. Lineage: Eukaryota; Viridiplantae; Streptophyta; Magnoliopsida; Myrtales; Myrtaceae.
UUUCUUUUUCUGGUUUUGUUUCAUUCGAGCGAGGAUUUCCAGUUAUUCUCCCUCUAGUGCAAAUAAUCCAUGGAUUUCUUCUCGCCGAAAGACAAUGGAGGCUAGCGAUUCUGCAUUUUGUGGAGAAAAUUGAUCCGGUUCUCCAACAAUCUCCUUGAACUUCGUUAUCCAUUCGAAGGAUUUUACUCUUGCUGAUUUAGCCAUCAGAAGUUGCUGGUGUUCUGUUAUAGCUAACAGAAUGAAGAUCGGCAUGGAACAACUCUCAUACUGGAGUUGAACUCAAUAUUCUCCACGUUCGGUGAUUCCUGAAGCGAGAUCGAAGCUAGUAGCUUCAUUGUCAUUGAAAGGCAGACAUCUCCGGAAGUUGAUUCUUCAAUGGUUCAAUUGAGAGUAACCGCCAGCGAAGGAGCUCGAGGUGAGGGGCUCAGAUCCGAAGCCGAUCAGCGGAAGUGACAGGGACGACGACAGCGGCAGCGGAUCCGGUUCUUUCUCGGAGAUCAGACGCUCUCGUCGCGGAACGCGUCCUUCCGGAGCUCGAGGUGCAGGGUUUCGGAUCCACGCCAAGUUUGGAGGUCUUGGCUUAGGUCUAAGGGUAGAGCUCCGAGACCGAUCGGCGACAUCGGCAGUGACGGCAACAACGGUAGUGAGAGGACGCUUAACCGGUUCUCUCUCGGCUCUGUCACUCGCUCGAUGGAACUCGGAAGUGUACAAGGCGAACGAAUAUAACCUAAUCUUCGAGCUCAUCUCCCGUCCGAGGUAGGAACCCUCGACCGAUCGCCUUGUUUUAUGUCUUCUUCGUGCCUUGUUUCAGGCUCGUCAGACCGGGCCGCCAUUGUCUGGUUCGUGUGGGUCUCAGCCUUGUCUAUAUGCAUGCUGUGAUUGUGAGGUCUUGGAUGUUGAUUGCUUUUGAAUCCAUACUCAAGCUCAGUCUCGGUGCUCCCCGUUUUUCUUGCGCCUAUUCAAUGUUCGAUGUAAUGCCUAAGCUAAACGCAGGUUCAUAAUCUUUACUGUGCUCAAAGCUUGCUGUCCUUUUGUUUGUACUGAGUAUGAACUAGUUGUCCUAUGUCGAUCUGAAGCCAAGUAACUUGUUUCUAAAUGCGAAUUAUGACCUUAAAAUUGGAGAUUUUUAGGCUAGCUAGGACUACAUCUGAAACGAAUUUUAUGACUGAGCAUGUUGUUACUCGCUGGUAUCAUGCACUAGAAAUGCUCUUUAAUUGUUCAAAAUACACUGUUGCGAUUGAUAUUUGGUCUGUGGGUUGCAUACUUGGUGAAAUUAUGACUAGGCAGUCCAUAUUCCCAGGCAAAGACUAUGUCCAUCAGUUGAGACUUACUACAGAAGUAUGCUUGAUGCAACUUGCUUUCAUAGUGUUUAAGGAGGUACUGUCCCUGUUUGUCAUACUGUGAAUGUCUCCUUGAUUGGCUUCUCUAACAUUAAAAAGUGUCUUGUUAUGCAUAAUUGUAGGAAUGCUUCAUAAUCAGAUCAUAGUAUCCGCUCAUUCUCAUAGCAAAUACAAGUGUUAUCUAGGAAAUGAGAUGUGAAUGCCUGAUGGUGCUUUUCCUUAAAGAGAUGCAAGAUACAAUCUAUUUAAAUCUAAUGAGGAUUUGACUGCUGGUGGAGUGGAGUUUAGAUUCAUGGAUCGAUGCUUCAUGAUAGUGGAAUAUUGUGGGAUUAAAUAGUUGUUCUGCUCUGAUAUUCUGUUUCUUUUUACUGAUCUGACCUUCUGUGCAAAUGACUUAAUAUGAGCUGGUUGUUGUGGUUUUCUGUGUUCGAAGUCUUCAUGAAAGUCGAAGAUGGUUCGAAUGUCUUUCCAAUGAACUAUAUAAUGCCCUGAUUGAAUCUCAUUUGAUAUGAUUUUCACAUGUCCAAAGUUCAGUCCAGAAUCUGUCCUGUUUGAGACCUGAUGCAUGUGUUCAAAUUUGAGUUAGUAAACAUGCUUUGCUAGAGUUGAAUCUUUCAUGAGAGUCAUUAUCAUAUUUGAACCCGUUUGAUGUGAAUAUCAUGCACCCAUUUGGCUAAUUGCAAUUGAUAUUUGCUGUUCAUGCGUGAAUUUGCUGAUAGUGAAAUUUGGAAAUAGUCUUGAUUUAGAAUACAUGCUUUGUUUUUAUAGCUUCAAAUACUUGUGAAUUUGGUAGGAAUUUUUUGUGUGAGGAGUUUGGGAUUAGGUCCUUCAUGAAAGUUGUCUUUCACAUAAAAACUGCAUAAAAAAAAUGGUUGUAUGUUUGCCUUGCUGCUCUGUUCUACUUUUGAUUGACCUUGAUCUCUUCCAGGAUUUUAUAAAUUCACGUGCUUUUUGGUACAAUAUAUAAUGAAGUGCUGUCUUUGAUUUUUGAAGUUGAUUCGAUUAUAGAAAUGCUAUCUUUUAUGUGGCUAGUUGCUGUUAGUCUUAAGAUGAGAUAGUAGAUUUGUCCAAUUGCUUUCAAUAUGUUGUAGAAUGACGGUGUGACAUGCUACUAUGCUCUAUUCUGGAUUGACUUGCUUUUUUAGAAUUUUAGAAAUUCAUGUGUUGAUAUGAUGAUAGUGUCUCUAUGAGAUUUAUUUGGGAUAUCACCUAGAAUUUGAUCCAGAGACCUUGUAACUUUAGUCACUCUUUUUGAAUAUAAAAAAUGUCUUGCUUUUGAUUG